Molecule: ribosomal RNA, 521 nt
Filed under: uncultured eukaryote
Lineage: Eukaryota
Description: eukaryotic LSU rRNA
Rfam family: Eukaryotic large subunit ribosomal RNA
Source: RNAcentral
GAUCCUUCGAUGUCGGCUCUUCCUAUCAUUGAGAAGCAGAAUUCUCCAAGUGUUGGAUUGUUCACCCGCUAACAGGGAACGUGAGCUGGGUUCAGACCGUCGUGAGACUAGGUUAGUUUUACCCUACAGAUAAAUUUAAAAUGUUAGUUACCCCGAUAGUAAUAGAAGUAAGUACGAGAGGAACCCUUCUAUCGGAUAAUUGGUGUAUGCUUUUCUGCGAGAGCAGAGUGAAGCGAAGCUACAAUCCGAUUGGUUACAGCUGAACGCCUCUAAGUUGGUACCAUGUCUAGAAAAGGAGUGACAUUAAGAAAUAUGUGGCGAAUGGAACAAGCAGUUAACAAUACACCAAAACAAAACAAUUUGGGCGUUAGUUUGAUUAGACUAUUGUUUGGUCAUCUAGCGUCUAGAAUCACAAAGAAAACACCAUUUCGCCAUGGAAAUAAAUAGAAGACGACUAUGAAAGAAAGAGGAAGUGUAAGUGUUAGAGUAGCCAUAGUUGCUACGAUGCAUUGAGCUCAGCC